UCUCACGUUAGUAAAUAACCCUGAUACAAUAUCUCACGUGAGACAUCCCCCAGGGUGGCUUUUUGAGUGAAUAAGUAAAUUAUUAUUCCUUAUACUUCAUUAUGCUUUGUGUUAUUGUUUUAUUCAUAUUAUUCUGAAAAGCGGAACUGGUAAAAACUGACACCAUAAGCUGAGAUAGCUAACACUAUGCGGUUAGAAAGUUCAGCUGCUGUGGCUUUAACCCC
This is a non-coding RNA of Pelobates cultripes (western spadefoot toad), 224 nucleotides long. The record is from the annotation of a GenBank genome assembly. NCBI's taxonomy places the organism in Eukaryota, Metazoa, Chordata, Amphibia, Anura, Pelobatidae.